GUACUGCUUUGAGUACUAGUCUUCACUGCAGAGUGAGCUAAAAUCACCCUGAGAACCUCAAGAAAGAAAUUACCCAGGGAUGGUUCUAGAAGAUGGAGCACUGUGGGGAGAGGCUAAAGAAUGGGCUGGGUUGUUGGGAAGGCUCCCUUCAGGGUGAAAGGUGGGUGGGGGGUGUUCUUAGAGAUUUGCUGGUGAAAGAGAGGCAGCGUGGGCCCGGGGGAGUCCCAGCAAAACAGGGGCAGCCCAAUGACAGGCCCCCGGCCCCGGCCCCCACCCUGAGCCGCUCUGCAAAGGAGGGCCCGAGCCAGACCCUCACCCUCCGCAGUGCAAACCGAGUCACAAAAUGCUACACCCGGGCGAUCACAAGCUACAGAUCCACUCUCAGAAGAACACGUAAAAUGAAAACCAAAACAUUCCAGGCACUCCCCAUUUCCUCUUUUCAAGAAAAAAAAAAAAAAAAAGAAACCAAAAGCAUAAUGCAGUGACUCCAAACUCCAUUAAACAUCCUCAAAAACAUGUUGCAAUAUUUUUUAAAUGAAUCACAGCUUCACUAAAACAAUGGAUAAGCUAAGGGAAGAAAGGGAAAAUCACUGACCACGGGAAGAAAAGAAAAAUACAGAAGUGUCUCGGAAACGACCCAAUCACGCGGUAACAAGGAGGAGUAAAUUCAAAUGAAAAUGCAGUAAGAGAUACUGGACACAGACAGAACACAAAGGAAAUAAAAGGAGGUAGAAGGUAACAGGUGUCAGACCGCAAGCGGCCGAAGGGCACAGCAGAAAAUGUGGAAAACGCAGGAGCAGACGGAGAACAAAGGAGCUGCCGCUAGACCCGACAUCCAGCCACAGCCCUGCCUUGCUUCUCGUUUAUGGGAUUCCAGGCAUCUCCCCGCAUCUAUUCUGUUUCAUUAGUAAGGACUGCAAAGGUGAGGCUGCCGUGGAAAUCACGUUUCCUAUAACGCCGUUGACUGUGCUUCCAAAGCAAAAACCAAAACACUCCAACCGAGUCAAGCUGGGACCAAAGACUCUGAGCACAGUGGGCAAAUGAUGGCCCUUAAGCCAAAUCCAGCUCACUGCCAAUUUUUGUAAAUAAAGCUUUACUGGAACA
Long non-coding RNA from Suricata suricatta (meerkat), 1104 nucleotides. RefSeq lists it as uncharacterized. The transcript has 3 exons. The record is from RefSeq and is a predicted model, not a curated record. NCBI's taxonomy places the organism in Eukaryota, Metazoa, Chordata, Mammalia, Carnivora, Herpestidae.